CCUACGGGAGGCAGCAGUGGGGAAUCUUGCACAAUGGGCGCAAGCCUGAUGCAGCCAUGCCGCGUGAGUGAUGAAGGCCCUAGGGUUGUAAAACUCUUUCAGCAGGGAAGAUAAUGACGGUACCUGCAGAAGAAGCCCCGGCUAACUCCGUGCCAGCAGCCGCGGUAAUACGGAGGGGGCUAGCGUUGUUCGGAAUUACUGGGCGUAAAGCGCGCGUAGGCGGCUUGGUCAGUUAGGGGUGAAAGCCCGGAGCCCAACUCCGGAAAUGCCUUUAAUACUGCCAGGCUAGAGUUCGGUAGAGGAGAGUGGAAUUUCCAGUGUAGAGGUGAAAUUCGUAGAUAUUGGAAAGAACACCAGUGGCGAAGGCGGCUCUCUGGCCCGAUACUGACGCUGAGGUGCGAAAGCGUGGGGAGCAAACAGGAUUAGAUACCCUUGUAGUC
Molecule: ribosomal RNA, 440 nt
Filed under: uncultured bacterium
Lineage: Bacteria
Description: bacterial SSU rRNA
Rfam family: Bacterial small subunit ribosomal RNA
Source: RNAcentral